UACGUAGGGGGCAAGCGUUGUCCGGAUUUAUUGGGCGUAAAGAGCGUGUAGGCGGUUUGGUAGGUCCGCUGUGAAAACUCGAGGCUCAACCUCGAGACGCCGGUGGAAACCAUCAGACUAGAGUCCGGAAGAGGCGAGUGGAAUUCCUGGUGUAGCGGUGGAAUGCGCAGAUAUCAGGAGGAACACCAAUAGCGAAGGCAGCUCGCUGGGACGGUACUGACGCUAAGGCGCGAAAGCGUGGGGAGCGAACAGG
RNAcentral lists this ribosomal RNA (253 nucleotides) under uncultured bacterium. Its description in RNAcentral is "partial 16S ribosomal RNA". It matches the Rfam family "Bacterial small subunit ribosomal RNA", at positions 524 to 776 of the family's 1533-position model. The record is from RNAcentral.